GACGAACGCUGGCGGCGUGCCUAAUACAUGCAAGUUGAGCGAUGAAGAUUGGUGCUUGCACCAAUUUGAAGAGCAGCGAACGGGUGAGUAACGCGUGGGGAAUCUGCCUUUGAGCGGGGGACAACAUUUGGAAACGAAUGCUAAUACCGCAUAACAACUUUAACCAUAAGUUUUAAGUUUGAAAGAUGCAAUUGCAUCACUCAAAGAUGAUCCCGCGUUGUAUUAGCUAGUUGGUGAGGUAAAGGCUCACCAAGGCGAUGAUACAUAGCCGACCUGAGAGGGUGAUCCGCCACAAUGGGACUGAGACACGGCCCAAACUCCUACGGGAGGCAGCAGUAGGGAAUCUUCGGCAAUGGACGAAAGUCUGACCGAGCAACGCCGCGUGAGUGAAGAAGGGUUUCGGAUCGUAAAACUCUGUUGGUAGAGAAGAACGUUGGUGAGAGUGGAAAGCUCAUCAAGUGACGGUAACUACCCAGAAAGGGACGGCUAACUACGUG
This 497-nucleotide ribosomal RNA is filed under the name uncultured bacterium. Its description in RNAcentral is "partial 16S ribosomal RNA". It matches the Rfam family "Bacterial small subunit ribosomal RNA", at positions 28 to 507 of the family's 1533-position model. The record is from RNAcentral.